GAUGAACGCUAGCGGGAGGCUUAAUACAUGCAAGUCGAACGGUAAGGUCAGAGCUUGCUCUGAUACACGAGUGGCGAACGGGUGAGUAACGCGUACACUACCUACCAUUAAGUGGAGAAUAGCCCCGGGAAACUGGGAUUAAUACUCCAUAAUAUUGUUUAUUACUAAGCAAUUAAAGCUCCGGCGCUUAAUGAUGGGUGUGCGUACUAUUAGAUUGUUGGUGAGGUAACGGCUCACCAAGUCGACGAUAGUUAGGGGGCGUGAGAGCGUGACCCCCCACACGGGUACUGAGACACGGACCCGACUCCUACGGGAGGCAGCAGUAAGGAAUAUUGGACAAUGGGCGAAAGCCUGAUCCAGCCAUCCCGCGUGCAGGAUGACGGCCCUAUGGGUUGUAAACUGCUUUUAUUUGGGAAGAAACGCCUGGAUUUAUCCGGGCCUGACGGUACCUUAUGAAUAAGCACCGGCUAACUCCG
This 476-nucleotide ribosomal RNA is filed under the name uncultured Saprospiraceae bacterium. RNAcentral's name for it is "bacterial SSU rRNA". It matches the Rfam family "Bacterial small subunit ribosomal RNA", at positions 28 to 505 of the family's 1533-position model. Lineage: Bacteria; Pseudomonadati; Bacteroidota; Saprospiria; Saprospirales; Saprospiraceae. The record is from RNAcentral.